ACUUCUGUUGUCAUCCAGUGGCUGAAAUCAACUGGAAGCCUACAGGGAAAGACCUGCCUCCUGGGACACAGAGCAGAAAGACACGACCUUGUGGAUUAUACUGACUGGCUCCAGCCACAUCAUCUGAAUCAGAGUAAUUGCUUUCAUCUGUGUCAUAGACAGACUACACUGUGUUCACCUCCUCUGCCAGUUGUUUCUGAUGCUGUAACCUCCAGUUUUUGAGUAAAACACUUUUGUUACAGCAAGAAGGAACACAUUUGCUGAAAACUUUCCAAAUUUUUUCGUUACUGCUGCACCAUCACUAGCUGUUGAUAUCGAUGGAAUUCCUGACCAGUAACAUUUCCAUGAAGAUCAUUACAAUUUAUUUCUUGAAAUUCUGGGAAGGCAUGGAAACAUCACAUUGCAGCAGAUGCUGGGGAUGCAGCAAUGAACAAGACAGGCCAGAUCCCUACUCUCAGAUAAACACAAUGAUCCAGGUCAGUAGGCAUUUGGUAGGAAUCUGCAUCAAACUGUUGGGCAAUGGUAGACAGCAACAUUGACGUCUGUAAAUUUACACUUGGAUUCUUAGUUUCUGGUUGGCUGCAUCCUUCUUCUGAAGGCCACUGCUCUUUUCAGAAGACCUCCCUAGAUGGCUAAGCUCUCUGGGUUGCAACAGUUGCUCUUUUUCCUUGAGCCUUAGGUUAGGGAGUUGGGAGGAAGUAAUGGCUUCCCCCACUGCUAGCUCCAGGGUGCUACACUUUCUCUUUUCUAGUUUCCCUAAUCUGGCUUACACCAUUAUAGAUAGACCCUUUAUUAAAAUAUCCUCAAUUUAUCCAU
Molecule: long non-coding RNA, 816 nt
Filed under: Homo sapiens (human)
Lineage: Eukaryota; Metazoa; Chordata; Mammalia; Primates; Hominidae
Description: HSALNT0308575
Source: RNAcentral